Molecule: long non-coding RNA, 572 nt
Organism: Homo sapiens (human)
Lineage: Eukaryota; Metazoa; Chordata; Mammalia; Primates; Hominidae
Source: Ensembl
AUAAACUCCAAAACAAUGCAACUUUUUUCUCUCUAGUUUUAUCUUCAGCACAGCUUGACUCAUCAUAAUUUUACCUUUAAGUAUCACCUGCAUUAAUAAACAUACAACUAGGUAUCAAUAAAUUUCUGUGGAAAAGGAAAUUAUCACAAGAUCAAAAUUGAAGAACCAGUCUCAUUUCAUCUAAUAUGAAAAUGAUCAACAUAUAUAAAAUUAAAUGCAUAACCCCAUCUAACUGCAACGAAACAUCCAAAAAUCCCAAAUGAGGAAGAUUCUACAAAAUGUGUGACCGCUGCUGCUGUCAAGGUCAUCAAGAAAAGGAAAAAAAGAAACCAUCACAAUCCAGAGGAGCCCAAGAAGAUAUGACAACUAAAUAUUAGGUAGCCACCUGGAUGGGAUCCUGGAAUAGAAAAACGGCAGUAGGGAAAAACUAAUGAAGUAAAAUUAAACUCUGGAGUUUAGUUAACAGUGAUGUACUUAAAUUGGUUCUUUCACAGUGACAAGUAUACUAUAGAGGUUCUUAAAAUUGACAUUUUAUUGAAGAGAGUACAAUAAAAUUAUAAUCACCAAACCAA